RNAcentral lists this transfer RNA (71 nucleotides) under Bacteroidales bacterium. RNAcentral describes it as "tRNA-Cys". It matches the Rfam family "tRNA". From Rfam's summary of the family: Transfer RNA (tRNA) molecules are approximately 80 nucleotides in length. Their secondary structure includes four short double-helical elements and three loops (D, anti-codon, and T loops). Lineage: Bacteria; Pseudomonadati; Bacteroidota; Bacteroidia; Bacteroidales. The record is from RNAcentral.
GGUACCUUGGCCGAGUGGUUAGGCACUGGUCUGCAAAACCAGGUACAGCAGUCCGAUUCUGCUAGGUACCU